UAAUACGGAGGGUGCAAGCGUUAUCCGGAUUCACUGGGUUUAAAGGGUGCGUAGGCGGAUUGAUAAGUCAGUGGUGAAAUCUUUGGGCUUAACCCGAAAACUGCCAUUGAUACUAUUGGUCUUGAAUACCGUGGAGGUCGACGGAAUAUGUCAUGUAGCGGUGAAAUGCUUAGAUAUGACAUAGAACACCAAUUGCGAAGGCAGUUGGCUACGCGAGUAUUGACGCUGAUGCACGAAAGCGUGGGGAUCAAACAGGAUUAGAUACCCUGGUAGUCCACGCCCUAAACUAUGGAUACUCGACAUACGCGAUACACUGUGUGUGUCUGAGCGAAAGCAUUAAGUAUCCCACCUGGGAAGUACGAUCGCAAGAUUG
RNAcentral lists this ribosomal RNA (373 nucleotides) under uncultured bacterium. Its description in RNAcentral is "bacterial SSU rRNA". It matches the Rfam family "Bacterial small subunit ribosomal RNA", at positions 521 to 896 of the family's 1533-position model. The record is from RNAcentral.